Molecule: ribosomal RNA, 501 nt
Filed under: uncultured bacterium
Lineage: Bacteria
Description: partial 16S ribosomal RNA
Rfam family: Bacterial small subunit ribosomal RNA
Source: RNAcentral
AUUGAACGCUGGCGGCAGGCUUAACACAUGCAAGUCGAGCGGAGAGAGGUAGCUUGCUACUGAUCUUAGCGGCGGACGGGUGAGUAAUGCUUAGGAAUCUGCCUAUUAGUGGGGGACAACAUUUCGAAAGGAAUGCUAAUACCGCAUACGUCCUACGGGAGAGAGCAGGGGAUCUUCGUACCUUGCGCAAAUAGAUGUGCCUAAGUCGGAUUAGCUAGCUGGUGGGGUAAAGGCCUACCAAGGCGACGAUCUGUAGCGGGUCUGAGAGGAUGAUCCGCCACACGGGGACUGGGACACGGCGCAGACUCCUACGGGAGGCAGCAGUGGGGAAUAUUGGACAAUGGGGGGAACCCUGAUCCAGCCAUGCCGCGUGUGUGAAGGAGGCCUUAUGGUUGUAAAGCACUUUAAGCGAGGAGGAGGCUACUCUAGUUAAUACCUAGGGAUAGUGGACGUUACUCGCAGAAUAAGCACCGGCUAACUCUGUGCCAGCCGCCGCGGUAA